Molecule: non-coding RNA, 136 nt
Organism: Setomelanomma holmii
Lineage: Eukaryota; Fungi; Ascomycota; Dothideomycetes; Pleosporales; Phaeosphaeriaceae
Source: the annotation of a GenBank genome assembly
GUCUCUUUAGCUCAAUUGGGAGAGCGCCAGACUGAAGUCUUCGGUCAUUAAAUCUGGAGGUAUCGCGUAAGUGCACUACACGUAUCUCGAUCAUUCAAAUACUAAUUUGACACAGGUUCGAUCCGCGAAAGGGACA